AGAGUUUGAUCCUGGCUCAGAUUGAACGCUGGCGGUAUGCUUUACACAUGCAAGUCGAACGGAUCAAGAAGCUUGCUUCUUGGUUAGUGGCGAACGGGUGAGUAAUAUAUCGGAACAUAUCCGGAAGUGGGGGAUAACGUAGCGAAAGUUACGCUAAUACCGCAUAUGCCCUGAGGGGGAAAGGGGGGGAUCGCAAGACCUCUCGCUUUCGGAGUGGCCGAUAUCGGAUUAGCUAGAUGGUGAGGUAAUGGCUCACCAUGGCGACGAUCCGUAGCUGGUCUGAGAGGACGACCAGCCACACUGGAACUGAGACACGGUCCAGACUCCUACGGGAGGCAGCAGUGGGGAAUUUUGGACAAUGGGCGAAAGCCUGAUCCAGCCAUACCGCGUGAGUGAAGAAGGCCUUCGGGUUGUAAAGCUCUUUCAGCCGGAAAGAAAUCGCAUUCCUUAAUACGGGGUGUGGAUGACGGUACCGGAAGAAGAAGCACCGGCUAACUACGUGCCAGCCGCCGCGGU
This 516-nucleotide ribosomal RNA is filed under the name uncultured bacterium. RNAcentral's name for it is "bacterial SSU rRNA". It matches the Rfam family "Bacterial small subunit ribosomal RNA", at positions 8 to 521 of the family's 1533-position model. The record is from RNAcentral.